GAUGGUUUAAUUCCUUCCCUUACUA
Molecule: transfer RNA, 25 nt
Filed under: Fluvicola pica
Lineage: Eukaryota; Metazoa; Chordata; Aves; Passeriformes; Tyrannidae
Also listed under: 2 other names
Description: partial tRNA-Met
Source: RNAcentral